RNAcentral lists this unclassified non-coding RNA (358 nucleotides) under fungal sp. RNAcentral's name for it is "partial internal transcribed spacer region". The stretch from base 1 to 46 matches the Rfam family "Eukaryotic small subunit ribosomal RNA", at positions 1786 to 1831 of the family's 1831-position model. Lineage: Eukaryota; Fungi. The record is from RNAcentral.
AAGUCGUAACAAGGUUUCCGUAGGUGAACCUGCGGAAGGAUCAUUACUCUUAGCUUAAGUGUACAUACACUUAUUGCUAUACAAACAACACCAAUCUGUGCUCUUGCUUUUUCCAUCCCACUUAUUACUCAAUUAUUUAUUAAACUGAUCUAAUUGUGUUUCAGCUUAUCAGUAUUUACUGUUAGCUACACACAUCUGUAUUUGUAUGGCCAGUGAUUUAGUUCUCUGUGUCAUGCCAAUACUUGUUGAACCACAGUAUAGUACUGAGUGUGUAUAGUAUGUAUGUUUAGCAUAUGUAGUGUAUUCACUCUACGACUAUCAGUGAAAACAACUCCGAACAAUGGAUAUCUCGGCUCUC